GUAGUCUGCAACUCGAGUACAUGAAGCUGGAAUCGCUAGUAAUCGCAAAUCAGAAUGUUGCGGUGAGUACGUUCCCGGGCCUUGUACACACCGCCCGUCACACCAUGGAGUUGGAAGCACCCGAAGUCGAUGACCUAACCGCGAGGGAGGAGUCGCCGAAGGUGAAGCCAGUGACUGGGGUGAAGUCGUAACAAGGUACC
Molecule: ribosomal RNA, 200 nt
Filed under: uncultured bacterium
Lineage: Bacteria
Description: partial 16S ribosomal RNA
Rfam family: Bacterial small subunit ribosomal RNA
Source: RNAcentral